RNAcentral lists this ribosomal RNA (253 nucleotides) under uncultured bacterium. RNAcentral's name for it is "partial 16S ribosomal RNA". It matches the Rfam family "Bacterial small subunit ribosomal RNA", at positions 524 to 776 of the family's 1533-position model. The record is from RNAcentral.
UACGUAGGGUGCAGGCGUUAAUCGGAAUUACUGGGCGUAAAGCGUGCGCAGGCGGUUUUGUAAGCCAGAUGGGAAAUCCCCGGGCUUAACCUGGGAAUGGCAUUUGGGACUGCAAGGCUCGAGUGCGGCAGAGGAGACUGGAAUUCCUGGUGUAGCAGUGAAAUGCGUAGAUAUUCGGAAGAACACCAGUGGCGAAGGCGACUUACUGGACGAUUGUUGACGCUGAGGUGCGAAAGCGUGGGGAGCAAACAGG